RNAcentral lists this ribosomal RNA (405 nucleotides) under uncultured bacterium. RNAcentral's name for it is "bacterial SSU rRNA". It matches the Rfam family "Bacterial small subunit ribosomal RNA", at positions 30 to 420 of the family's 1533-position model. The record is from RNAcentral.
AGUGAACGCUGGCGGCAGGCCUAACACAUGCAAGUCGAGCGGCAGCGCGUCCGACCACCCUCGGGUGGUCGGAUGGCGGCGAGCGGCGGACGGGUGAGGAAUGCAUCGGAAUCUGCCUCGUUGUGGGGGAUAACGUAGGGAAACUUACGCUAAUACCGCAUACGACCUACGGGUGAAAGUGGGGGACCUUCGGGCCUCACGCGAUGAGAUGAGCCGAUGCCGGAUUAGCUAGUUGGCGGGGUAAAGGGCCCACCAAGGCGACGAUCCGUAGCUGGUCUGAGAGGAUGAUCAGCCACACUGGAACUGAGACACGGUCCAGACUCCUACGGGAGGCAGCAGUGGGGAAUAUUGGACAAUGGGGGCAACCCUGAUCCAGCCAUGCCGCGUGUGUGAAGAAGGCCUCGG